UUGGACAACGUUAUAGAUUCA
This 21-nucleotide non-coding RNA is filed under the name Caenorhabditis elegans. Lineage: Eukaryota; Metazoa; Nematoda; Chromadorea; Rhabditida; Rhabditidae. The record is from RNAcentral.